GAUGAACGCUAGCGGCAGGCUUAACACAUGCAAGUCGAGGGGCAUCGAGAGUAGCAAUACUUGUCGGCGACCGGCGCAAGGGUGCGUAACACGUGAGCAACAUACCCGUUUCAGGAGGAUAACCGGAGGAAACUCUGCCUAAUACUCCAUGACAUCAUCAAACGGCAUCGUUUGAUGAUUAAAGAUUUAUCGGAAACGGCUUGGCUCGCGGGACAUUAGCUUGUUGGUGAGGUAACGGCUCACCAAGGCUACGAUGUCUAGGGGUUCUGAGAGGAAGGUCCCCCACACUGGAACUGAGACACGGUCCAGACUCCUACGGGAGGCAGCAGUGAGGAAUAUUGGACAAUGGUCGGAAGACUGAUCCAGCCAUGCCGCGUGAAGGUUACUGUCCUAUGGAUAUUAAACUUCUUUUGUAUGAGAGCAAUAAGGUGCACGCGUGCACCGAUGAGAGUACCAUACGAAUAAGCAUCGGCUAACUCCG
This 481-nucleotide ribosomal RNA is filed under the name uncultured bacterium. Its description in RNAcentral is "bacterial SSU rRNA". It matches the Rfam family "Bacterial small subunit ribosomal RNA", at positions 28 to 505 of the family's 1533-position model. The record is from RNAcentral.